CUCUGGGAGGGAUGGGCGAUGCUGAACAUGAGGCUCCCUCCUGCCUGGGAGGGCUGCACAAAGCUCACACAGCUGUACCCUGCCUUUGCCACUGUGGACUUUCCCAGUGGACACAGGCCUCCAAGGAGCUUUGUGGGAAGGGCAGGACAGGGAAAAGAAAUGCAUCUCCUCAGCAGGUCUGGGAAGGGAACGGCACACAGUGAAGAGGGAGAGACCUUGCCAGUGCUACUGGGAGAGAUGGUGAGCAAAGGCAGCGGAUGGCAGCUAUCCCAGAGCAGUGGUCCAGGGGUUUCGGAGCAGCUUGCCGUGGUGCUGGCAAGACCAGAGCUGUGCCCAGACACCAUGAGAAGCUGCCUCGUGCCCCCAGGAAAGCAAGUGAUUCCUGCACUGCGUCUGAGCUUUGGCUGCUCGCUGUGCAUGGGAAGGGGCCGGGGGAUGCAUGCCUUCAUGGAGGACACCAGCUCCCACUGAGCAAAGGCGAGUCCAUUUUCUCUGUCUUGCAGAGAGAGACUUGAAGCCUCAGAAAUCUGUUGCUGGCAUGAGAUCUGCACUGCCCACCUCCUGAUGGGACCCCCUGGAUGGACCCCGGACCUGAUUCAUAGCUUGCUGGAGCUGUUGAUGAAGCCCAUUACCAGCCCUUGGCUCUGUCCACUGUCCUCAGACCCCAUGGGACUGUGUCCUGUUGAUGAUGAUGCCGCUCCUGGCCUUUGCUGCUGCCAGACACUUGCUGUGAAAAGGCUGUACUUUGUUUGAGUGCGCCUUCCUGGGGUGGGGGGUACCAGGAUAGAUCCUGAUGAGGGAGGAUGAAGCCCUGCUGCUCUUCACAGAGCUGAAGAUCUCCCCAACUUUCACACUUUGACGGAUUUGCUUCACAUUUGCUAAUAGGUUUCAAGAGUUACUUGGGGAACUGAGAGAAGACCGGCUGGCACAG
Long non-coding RNA from Aquila chrysaetos chrysaetos, 931 nucleotides. RefSeq lists it as uncharacterized. NCBI's taxonomy places the organism in Eukaryota, Metazoa, Chordata, Aves, Accipitriformes, Accipitridae. The record is from RefSeq and is a predicted model, not a curated record. The transcript has 6 exons.